AGUGAUGUAGCUCAGUGGUAGAGUGCUUGCCUAGCAUGCACAGGGCCCUGGGUUUGAUUCUCAGCACUGCAA
RNAcentral lists this transfer RNA (72 nucleotides) under Heterocephalus glaber (naked mole-rat). It matches the Rfam family "tRNA". From Rfam's summary of the family: Transfer RNA (tRNA) molecules are approximately 80 nucleotides in length. Their secondary structure includes four short double-helical elements and three loops (D, anti-codon, and T loops). Further hydrogen bonds mediate the characteristic L-shaped molecular structure. tRNAs have two regions of fundamental functional importance: the anti-codon, which is responsible for specific mRNA codon recognition, and the 3' end, to which the tRNAs corresponding amino acid is attached (by aminoacyl-tRNA synthetases). tRNAs cope with the degeneracy of the genetic code in two manners: having more than one tRNA (with a specific anti-codon) for a particular amino acid; and 'wobble' base-pairing, i.e. permitting non-standard base-pairing at the 3rd anti-codon position. The record is from Rfam by way of RNAcentral. Lineage: Eukaryota; Metazoa; Chordata; Mammalia; Rodentia; Bathyergidae.